GAUGAACGCUGGCGGCGUGCCUAAUACAUGCAAGUCGAGCGAACGGACGAGAAGCUUGCUUCUCUGAUGUUAGCGGCGGACGGGUGAGUAACACGUGGAUAACCUACCUAUAAGACUGGGAUAACUUCGGGAAACCGGAGCUAAUACCGGAUAAUAUUUUGAACCGCAUGGUUCAAAAGUGAAAGACGGUCUUGCUGUCACUUAUAGAUGGAUCCGCGCUGCAUUAGCUAGUUGGUAAGGUAACGGCUUACCAAGGCAACGAUGCAUAGCCGACCUGAGAGAGGGAUCGGCCACACUGGAACGGAGACACGGUCCAGACUCCUACGGGAGGCAGCAGUAGGGAAUCUUCCGCAAUGGGCGAAAGCCUGACGGAGCAACGCCGCGUGAGCGAUGAAGGUCUUCGGAUCGUAAAACUCUGUUAUUAGGGAAGAACAUAUGUGUAAGUAACUGUGCACAUCUUGACGGUACCUAAUCAGAAAGCCACGGCUAACUACGUG
RNAcentral lists this ribosomal RNA (497 nucleotides) under uncultured bacterium. RNAcentral's name for it is "partial 16S ribosomal RNA". It matches the Rfam family "Bacterial small subunit ribosomal RNA", at positions 28 to 507 of the family's 1533-position model. The record is from RNAcentral.